RNAcentral lists this ribosomal RNA (492 nucleotides) under uncultured bacterium. RNAcentral describes it as "partial 16S ribosomal RNA". It matches the Rfam family "Bacterial small subunit ribosomal RNA", at positions 29 to 507 of the family's 1533-position model. The record is from RNAcentral.
AGUGAACGCUGGCGGUAGGCCUAACACAUGCAAGUCGAACGGCAGCACAGUAAGAGCUUGCUCUUACGGGUGGCGAGUGGCGGACGGGUGAGGAAUACAUCGGAAUCUACUUUUUCGUGGGGGAUAACGUAGGGAAACUUACGCUAAUACCGCAUACGACCUACGGGUGAAAGCAGGGGAUCUUCGGACCUUGCGCGAUUGAAUGAGCCGAUGUCGGAUUAGCUAGUUGGCGGGGUAAAGGCCCACCAAGGCGACGAUCCGUAGCUGGUCUGAGAGGAUGAUCAGCCACACUGGAACUGAGACACGGUCCAGACUCCUACGGGAGGCAGCAGUGGGGAAUAUUGGACAAUGGAGGCAAGCCUGAUCCAGCCAUACCGCGUGGGUGAAGAAGGCCUUCGGGUUGUAAAGCCCUUUUGUUGGGAAAGAAAAGCAGCAGGUUAAUACCCCGCUGUUCUGACGGUACCCAAAGAAUAAGCACCGGCUAACUUCGUG